AGUAAAAGUCGUAACAAGGUCUCCGUUGGUGAACCAGCGGAGGGAUCAUUACAGAGUUAUCCAACUCCCAAACUCAUGUGAACUUAUCUCUUUGUUGCCUCGGCGCAAGCUACCCGGGACCUCGCGCCCCGGGCGGCCCGCCGGCGGACAAACCAAAACUCUUGUUAUCUUAGUUGAUUAUCUGAGUGUCUUAUUUAAUAAGUCAAAACUUUCAACAACGGAUCUCUUGGUUCUGGCAUCGAUGAAGAACGCAGCGAAAUGCGAUAAGUAAUGUGAAUUGCAGAAUUCAGUGAAUCAUCGAAUCUUUGAACGCACAUUGCGCCCAUUAGUAUUCUAGUGGGCAUGCCUGUUCGAGCGUCAUUUCAACCCCUAAGCACAGCUUAUUGUUGGGAACCUACGGCUUCGUAGUUCCUCAAAGACAUUGGCGGAGUGGCAGUGGUCCUCUGAGCGUAGUAAUCUUUUAUCUCGCUUCUGUUAGGUGCUGCCCCCCCGGCCGUAAAACCCCCAAUUUUUUCUGGUUGACCUCGGAUCAGGUAGGAAUACCCGCUGAACUUAAGCAUAUCAAUUUGAGGAGGAAUCGGAAU
RNAcentral lists this ribosomal RNA (584 nucleotides) under uncultured fungus. RNAcentral's name for it is "eukaryotic LSU rRNA". The stretch from base 207 to 360 matches the Rfam family "5.8S ribosomal RNA". The record is from RNAcentral. Lineage: Eukaryota; Fungi.